GGUCUUGUGGUCUAGUGGUAUGAUUCUUGCUUAGGGCAUAACCCUAACCCUGAUUGCAAGAGGCCCCGUGUUCGAUCCACGGCAAGACCC
Molecule: non-coding RNA, 90 nt
Organism: Coniella lustricola
Lineage: Eukaryota; Fungi; Ascomycota; Sordariomycetes; Diaporthales; Schizoparmaceae
Source: the annotation of a GenBank genome assembly